Molecule: RNA transcript, 2382 nt
Organism: Haliotis rufescens (red abalone)
Lineage: Eukaryota; Metazoa; Mollusca; Gastropoda; Lepetellida; Haliotidae
Exons: 3
Source: RefSeq, a predicted model, not a curated record
CAUGUACGUGUUUAUGUUGCGCUACAACUAUCCCUCGUAAGGUUUCAAAUUCCCCCUCUGCGCAUGCGCACGGGAGCCCCCUUUUUACCCAUAAGCCCCGUGUCUCUCCAUUCCUCUCCCAAAGCUAGAAGGACAACAACACUCGCUACAAAAUUGCCAUAAUACCUUUAUUGUGAUCAACUGCCGCUUGCACAGACCACCUCCUGCAUGUCAGCAAGGUACCUAAAACACCGACAAUGGCACCGAAACGGACGUCAAGGAGAACCAGGGCAGCUGUUCCUGUCGAAAAUGUUUCAUCCGCAACAAGUGGAACUUCCGACAACAGUCGCCAUGUUGGGUCACAGGUCAGAGCGAGUGCGACAGGCAGAGCCGUCCCUUACGAGACAACAGUUGACCUGAGACAGAGGCUGCGCUCCUUAGGUAUCACAGUGCCUGCAUCGUGGGGAAGAAAGACGAUCCUACAACUGUACAAGGAAAACUUUAACGAGAACCACACGGUCAGUGGAGGGGCCAGCGCUGUUCAACAUUCCUCCCCCGUUUCCGCAUUGUCGUCUGUACAUGCUGUUCCUUCCUGUGACGUUACUCCCCAGUAUGUAAACAGCGGUAAUUCUGACAGCUCUACUAGCAUUCCGGCAACAGUGACAACAGCAAGCAACCAGUUAUCGUCAGCAAAUGUGGAAUUGGUGGGAGUCAUGCGGGAAAUGAGGGACAUGAUGACAUCCCUCACCCAACGUCUAUCCUCUGGAGCUCCCAGUGGAGAAAACAUAGCCUGGCCUACAUCACAGACAAAUCCAACGCAAUGUGUUCUGUCAGAUUCCGUGCCCCAUGUCAACUUUGUUGACGAAAGUACAAGGCGUAAAAUUCACCAAGAUUGCCAGAUUUCGGAAACUUGCUCCACAUGCGGCACCACAAGCAACACCAUGUCCACAACACUCACAGUUGAUAUGGGUCUGGCAAGACACCUAGACACUCUAUGGGAUGCUGCAGUGGCGGCCAGAACCAAGACCACCUAUGCUUCUGGCUUUCAGUCAUACGUUGCCUUUCUCCUGAGAUAUAGCCUGUACUCUACAUGCUCAAGCCUCACACGGGCAGCACAAGGUCUGCCACCAGUUAAUUGGCACUUCUGCAACAAUAUGUGGCCUUUUGUUUCGGUGAGGCAAAACUACAGUAUGUCACUGUCAAAUCCUAUCUCGCGGGUAUUCGGUUUACCUAUCUGAAGGCAGGUGUACAUACAGUGUUCGAUUCAGUGUCUACUGGUGGUCUAAAUCAGCUACGAACCCUACUUCAUGGAUACAAGAAGCUACAACAACAGGGUGUGCCCAAACGCUUACCCAUAACCUACGAUGUUUUGAAGAAGAUUGUGUGUACACUACGCAAAGGGGUGCUCGGACCUCUCAAUGAUCUGGUAAUGGAGGUCAUGUGCACCACUGCCUUCUUUGGUUUUCUACGAUGUGCCGAGUUCACAUGUUCUCGUGACUUCGAUGCUAGUACCAAUUUAAGUCUAUCUGAUGUCACCAUCGACCAUAAUACAGGAAAGUGUACUCUCGUGCUCAAAGCUUCAAAGACAGAUAUUUUUAGACAGGGCGUAGUCAUUACCUUGUUUGCCAACCAAUCUCCCAUUUGCCCUUUUGCCAAUUUGAACCGCUUAAAGCAAGUAAGACUAUAACAUGGUGCUAGGGACAGUGAUCCUCUGUUUGUUGACUGUGUUGGAAAAGCCAUAUCCCGUACCAUGUUCCUGCAAUGGCUCAACAUGACCAUGAAACAUGCACACCUUGACGCAGCUAAAUACUCUGGACACUCUUUUCGCAUAGGGGCAGCGACCUCCGCUGCAACUGUUCGUAUGGAAGAUCACCUCAUAAAAACACUGGGCAGGUGGCAGUCAGACUGUUUUACACGUUAUAUUCGGACCCCAGAGGACGUUAUUAAGAAUGCUCAGUUGUCUUUAAUUUCUUGUCCAUAAUACCCAGUACAGGGACAUCUCUGAUCAGCUGCGUUGAAUUGGUUGUGUUGGUCAUUCCUUUUGUACGAUGUUGAUGUAUCUUGUGAUCCCUCUCUAUAUUGUUGCACACAAUGUACCUUCCUUACCACACCUAGCACAACUUGGGGGCACUCACUCUUGUAAGGGGGUACCCUUCCAAUCACUUGCUUUGGGCUAUUUCCACUCAUCUAGAGUGUCCUUUUCUCCCCCAAGUCCAAACCAGAGCUCAGGUCGCAGCCCCGGUCCGCAGACCACCGUCCGAGCCGCCACAGCGGCCCCAGGACCCUCGCCUAGCUCUCGGUCGUCCCUCUCCUUGUAAAUAAGCUAGCACCAAAGGUCCGCAGACCACCGUCCGAGCCGCCACAGCGGCCCCAGGACCCUCGCCUAGCUCUCGGUCGUCGCUC